RNAcentral lists this ribosomal RNA (253 nucleotides) under uncultured bacterium. RNAcentral's name for it is "partial 16S ribosomal RNA". It matches the Rfam family "Bacterial small subunit ribosomal RNA", at positions 524 to 776 of the family's 1533-position model. The record is from RNAcentral.
UACGUAGGGUGCAAGCGUUGUCCGGAAUUAUUGGGCGUAAAGAGCUCGUAGGCGGUUUGUCGCGUCUGCUGUGAAAACUCGGGGCUUAACUCCGGGCCUGCAGUGGGUACGGGCAGACUAGAGUGCGGUAGGGGAGACUGGAAUUCCUGGUGUAGCGGUGAAAUGCGUAGAUAUCAGGAGGAGUACCGAUGGCGAAGGCAGGUCUCUGGGCUGACACUGACGCUCAUGCACGAAAGCGUGGGGAGCAAACAGG